This 451-nucleotide ribosomal RNA is filed under the name uncultured bacterium. Its description in RNAcentral is "partial 16S ribosomal RNA". It matches the Rfam family "Bacterial small subunit ribosomal RNA", at positions 29 to 523 of the family's 1533-position model. The record is from RNAcentral.
AACGAACGCUGGCGGCAUGCCUAACACAUGCAAGUCGAACGAAGCCUUCGGGCUUAGUGGCGCACGGGUGCGUAACGCGUGGGAAUCUGCCCUUGGGUUCGGAAUAACAGUUAGAAAUGACUGCUAAUACCGGAUGAUGUCUUCGGACCAAAGAUUUAUCGCCCAAGGAUGAGCCCGCGUAGGAUUAGGUAGUUGGUGGGGUAAUGGCCUACCAAGGCUACGACGCUUAGGGGGGGUGAGAGCCUGUUCCCCACCGAUGGAACUGAGAAACGGUCCAUACACCUACGGGUGGCCGCAGUCGAGAAUCUUCCGCAAUGGGCGAAAGCCUGACGGAGCGACGCCGCGUGAUCUAUGAAGUCCUUCGGGAUGUAAAGAUCUUUUAUGAGCGAGAAAGUUUAUUGAUCAGCUCAUGAAUAAGAGGUUGCUAAACUCGUGCCAGCCGCCGCAGUAA